UUCUGAUUCCAAUUCCAAGUUUAAUUUCCAUUAGAAUCAAACAAACCCUUAGGUAUCGUUUGGUUCGAGGAUAAGCAAAAAGUGGCUGUUCCAGAAAUAGGUAUAAAUUGAGGUAUAAGCGGGGAUUAGAUUAAUUUUGCAUUUGGAUGAAAAUUGAGUUAUUCCUGGGAAUAAAAAAAAUAGCGUUUGGUUAGUUAAGAUGGAAUAAGAAAGAUAGUGGGUUUUAUAAAUAAAAAAUAAUCAUAUUAUCCUCUAUUAUAUUUGAAUUUAAAUUUUUAAAUUUAAAAUUUUAACUUUGAAAUUUCAAAAUUUGAAAUUUAAAAUCUCAAAUUUUAAAUUCAAAAUUUUAAAUUUUAAAUUUCAAACUUUAAAUUUAAUAUCAAAUUUGAAUUUGAAAAAUAUAAAAUAUCAAAAUUUAAAUUUCAAAUUUAAAAUAUUAAAAUUUAA
This 447-nucleotide long non-coding RNA is filed under the name Ananas comosus (pineapple). RNAcentral describes it as "long non-coding RNA (ACOM_LNC040768)". The record is from RNAcentral. Lineage: Eukaryota; Viridiplantae; Streptophyta; Magnoliopsida; Poales; Bromeliaceae.